Long non-coding RNA from Antechinus flavipes (yellow-footed antechinus), 1373 nucleotides. RefSeq lists it as uncharacterized. The transcript is spliced from 6 exons. The record is from RefSeq and is a predicted model, not a curated record. Lineage: Eukaryota; Metazoa; Chordata; Mammalia; Dasyuromorphia; Dasyuridae.
UGUGAUGAAAAGAGCUUAUGAGCCUUUUUGUUAGAGGAUCCUGCUUUAUAAUCUAGUCCUCACAGCACAGGAUUAGAAAAGAUCUGGAUUCUCAUGCAAGGACCCCUUCCCAUCUACCAUAUCACACAAGACCUCCUAUCUCCCAUACUCCUAUAGGGACAUCGGCCCUGACCACCAUCACGAGAAUUCUGCCACAGGCCUGGCAGUCCGGGGCUACAAGCAAUUCACUCAGAUGCAUGGCCACUGGCCAAGCAGGUUUGGGAAAGCCAACUCCUAGAAGAAUUAGGACCUCAUUAAGGCAUGGGUGAAGGAAGAGGAAGUCACCCAGAGCAGGACUGACUGGCCCCAGUGCUUUGUGAUGGACAGCCAAGUUAGGAGGAAAACAGAGGGCUGCCUCGAGUCUCAAGGAUGAUCUGGCUCCAGCCCACCAGUGCUUGUGGAAGGAUAAGAAUAUAGGAUUUCUAACAGAUCAUUGACCCCAAAGCACUAAUUUUACAAAUGAAAAGAGUGAUACCUUGGUUUACCAUGUAAUCUAACCCAUUGUGACCUAUGGAGAAAGAAACAGAACCAAGAUUGAACCCAGGAACUCUUCCUCCAAAUCCAAGACAUCCCCAUCAAGUCACAUCACUCUCACAAUCCAGAUUGCACUGAGCAUAACUUGGGCAAAGGUGAGAUGAGAAAAGUGAGGAUCCAGGAGGCUAAGUGACUUGCCUGAAAUAAUAUCAAGAGAAUGAGUCAAAGUUGGGGCAGGAACUCAGGCCUUCUGAAGCAUCUUGCAGUAAUCACAAGUCCAUUCAAAGUCUACAUGUCGUCUUCCCACCAUUUUGUCAAGUCCUUAGUCUUCAUGCUUCUAAGGAUUCAAAUAGGACCCAUUGAAACCUCCAAGAAUUAUGAUGAAAUUUGUCCACUACCUUUAAAGCACAUGGAGCACCAAGGUCCAGCUUCAAGACUGCCUUAUCUUUGUGCGACCAGAGAAUUCAGAUCUGAAAGUGAUGAGAUCUUAACUGCUGCCUAAUAUCCUGACUCCCUCUCCUGAGUUUCAUUAGGACAAAGGGACUUUUUAACCUUUUCUGUGCAUAUCUCCACUUUUUCUCUCAGGAGCCACUUUAGAACAAAAAGACUUUUUCCAUGUGUAUCCUAUUUGAAAUAAACCUAAUCAGGGGAAUUUUCCACUUCUCAUCUCAUCUGAAGUUGUCCAAUUUCUUUGCUUUGCCCAAUUCUGGGUUCAUUCAUACUCUUCCUUCUCCAUAUAAUCUUUCCCCUUACUCUGCUGGGCUGCCUCUCCCUUAUGGAGGAGACCGACAAGUUCAUCACCCCAGUAAAUGUUCUUUGCUUGAUUUGGACAUAGUUUGAAGCCUGAAUUCUUUCAGAGA